GAUGAACGCUGGCGGCGUGCCUAAUACAUGUAAGUCGAGCGCACGGACGAGAAGUCUGCUUUUCUGAUGUUAGCUGCGGACGGGUGAGUAACACGUGGAUAACCUACUUAUUAGACUGGGAUAACUUCGGGAAACCGGAGCUAAUACCGGAGAAUGUUCUGAACCGCAUUGUUCAAAAGUGAAAGACGGUCUUGCUGUCACUUAUAGAUGGAUCCGCGCUGCAUUAGCUAGUUGGUAAGGUAACGGCUUACCAAGGCAACGAUGCAUAGCCGACCUGAGAGGGUGAUCGGCCACACUGGAACUGAGACACGGUCCAGACUCCUACGGGAGGCCGCAGCAGGCAAGCUGCCGCAACGGGCGAGAGUCUGACCCAGGAACGGCGCGUGAGUACAGAAGAACUUGGGGUUGUAAACAGCUAUUCUUACGCACGAAAAUCUGUGUAAGUAGCUGUGGAUAUAGUGACGUUACAAAGUCAGCCUGACACGGCUAACUACGGG
RNAcentral lists this ribosomal RNA (497 nucleotides) under uncultured bacterium. RNAcentral describes it as "partial 16S ribosomal RNA". It matches the Rfam family "Bacterial small subunit ribosomal RNA", at positions 28 to 507 of the family's 1533-position model. The record is from RNAcentral.